CCCAGGACAGGGCAAACCCAGCGAAAGCUGGCGGCGCAAAGCAAUGGGUCUAAAGCGCGGCGAGAUGCCGCGCCAUGACUGCCAUGCUGCACUU
This 94-nucleotide non-coding RNA is filed under the name Bacillus thermozeamaize. RNAcentral describes it as "c-di-GMP sequence". It matches the Rfam family "c-di-GMP-I riboswitch aptamer". From Rfam's summary of the family: GEMM was predicted in a large-scale screen for bacterial structured RNA regulatory elements. Genes associated with GEMM are involved in a diverse array of functions, including chemotaxis regulation, signal transduction, secretion and chitin. Lineage: Bacteria; Bacillati; Bacillota; Bacilli; Caryophanales; Bacillaceae. The record is from RNAcentral.